AUGUCUCGAACGUAUCAAAAAUUGCAAGUUCUACAAUACGCGACUAAUGGUCCACUCAAACAAAGAAACAUGUGAAUGUAAAUCUAUGAUAUAUAAGUGGCUCAAACCUCACGUAUAAGGGUAUGAUAUGUGAUAUGCAUACAUUAAUAGCUCCUUAGGCGAAUUAUUCCCAAAUAACCACCCACUAAAUACCCGUUAUGCUUAUUAGUUCGAACUUGACCAUGACAAAAGACCAAAUGGGUUGUGACAUCCCUCGUUGACUUGGUUACUUGUGCUUUUGAGAUUGCUUUGAAAACAAGACAUUUUUGAAAAAUUCUUGAAAUUUUCCCCCAUCCCCACACUUGAGGUAAACAUUGUCCUCAGUGUGUAGUGUUUAAAUGAACGGGUCAAAAUCGAAAAUUUUUACUCCUCCCCCAUCCCCACACUUGAGGUACAUAUUGUCCUCAAUGUGUAGGAAAUAGAGUUUUAAAAACGCACAAGGGAUGUGACACGGCUAACCUCCCCAAAAUUACACCCCGGGAAAUAAAAUACAAUUUACAAUCCACUUAUUUGCUAACUAAAAAUCAAAGAUAAAAAGAAACGUAUGCACCUGGUUUUUCGCUAGUUCCUCGUGUGCUCUUCAUCUUUUCAACAAAGCGGUCGUCUCACGAACAUGAUGUACCUACAAAUCUUAACCCUUGUGUAGAAGCAUGCUUCUCACAACCAUCAAAAUUUGUUAGUUACCUAGUUCUACCACUUUUAUGAAAUUAUUACCAAGCCAUACAUUAUUUUACUUUUGACUUUAUGUGGAAAACAUUUUACAACAACAAAAAACCUAACUCACUUUCGUAGGAAUCACGACGGCAUUUAGCAUAUGCACGCAAGCCCUUUAAACCUCCCGAUAGCUCGGGAGGACGAGUCGGUCUCGUGAGGGUUAUAUAGGGAACACACCCACAAAGUUCAUUUA
RNAcentral lists this long non-coding RNA (946 nucleotides) under Helianthus annuus (common sunflower). RNAcentral describes it as "hypothetical non coding rna". The record is from RNAcentral. Lineage: Eukaryota; Viridiplantae; Streptophyta; Magnoliopsida; Asterales; Asteraceae.